RNAcentral lists this ribosomal RNA (465 nucleotides) under Vreelandella stevensii. RNAcentral describes it as "partial 16S ribosomal RNA". It matches the Rfam family "Bacterial small subunit ribosomal RNA", at positions 338 to 795 of the family's 1533-position model. Lineage: Bacteria; Pseudomonadati; Pseudomonadota; Gammaproteobacteria; Oceanospirillales; Halomonadaceae. The record is from RNAcentral.
CCUACGGGGGGCAGCAGUGGGGAAUAUUGGACAAUGGGCGAAAGCCUGAUCCAGCCAUGCCGCGUGUGUGAAGAAGGCCUUCGGGUUGUAAAGCACUUUCAGUGGGGAAGAAAGCCUUGGGGCUAAUACCCUCGAGGAAGGACAUCACCCACAGAAGAAGCACCGGCUAACUCCGUGCCAGCAGCCGCGGUAAUACGGAGGGUGCGAGCGUUAAUCGGAAUUACUGGGCGUAAAGCGCGCGUAGGCGGUCUGAUAAGCCGGUUGUGAAAGCCCCGGGCUCAACCUGGGAACGGCAUCCGGAACUGUCAGGCUAGAGUGCAGGAGAGGAAGGUAGAAUUCCCGGUGUAGCGGUGAAAUGCGUAGAGAUCGGGAGGAAUACCAGUGGCGAAGGCGGCCUUCUGGACUGAAACUGACGCUGAGGUGCGAAAGCGUGGGUAGCAAACAGGAUUAGAUACCCGUGUAGUC